AAGACCUUGGGAAUAAAGGACAACCUUACAGGCUUAGUCCUCCUGUUCUUCCACUGUGCUCCUUAAAGGAAAUUCAAUUGUCUACUGAUAAAUUUUUCAGAAUGGAACCAUCUGAAAUUACCAAUGGUUGUUUUCUUUCUAUUUUAACAAGGGAGUAAAUGCUUCUUUAAUUGCAGCGGGACCCUUCUGAGACAGUGUCUGUGAAUGAUGUUUUGGCCCGAGCUGCAGCCAAGGGUCUGCUGGAUGGGAUUGAGUUGGGUAAAUCAUCAAAACGGGAGAAGAAGAAGAAAAAAUCAAAAACAUCAUUGACAAAAGGUGCCACUACUGAUAAUGGCAUCCAAAUGAAAAUUGCUGAGUUCCUGAAUCGAGAAACUAAAGCCAGUGCUAAUCUAUCAGAGACUGUAACAAAACCA
RNAcentral lists this small RNA (413 nucleotides) under Pan troglodytes (chimpanzee). RNAcentral's name for it is "processed transcript". The record is from RNAcentral. Lineage: Eukaryota; Metazoa; Chordata; Mammalia; Primates; Hominidae.